Molecule: ribosomal RNA, 334 nt
Filed under: uncultured eukaryote
Lineage: Eukaryota
Description: partial 18S ribosomal RNA
Rfam family: Eukaryotic small subunit ribosomal RNA
Source: RNAcentral
CCCUUAGAUGUCCGGGGCCGCACGCGCGCUACACUGAAGGAAUCAGCGUGGCUUUCUCCCUGACCCGACAGGGUUGGGAAACCCGUUGAAUCUCCUUCGUGAUAGGGAUUGGGGCUUGAAAUUGUUCCCCAUGAACGAGGAAUUCCCAGUAAGCGCGAGUCAUAAGCUCGCGUUGAUUACGUCCCUGCCCUUUGUACACACCGCCCGUCGCUACUACCGAUUGAACGGUUUAGUGAGGGCCUCGGAUUGGUCUCGGCCCGCUCUUUACCGGGCGGCGCCGUUGGUCGAGAAGACGCUCGAACUUGAUCGUUUAGAGGAAGUAAAAGUCGUAACA